This 2214-nucleotide ribosomal RNA is filed under the name Escherichia coli. Its description in RNAcentral is "partial 23S ribosomal RNA". It matches the Rfam family "Bacterial large subunit ribosomal RNA", at positions 1 to 2241 of the family's 2925-position model. The record is from RNAcentral. Lineage: Bacteria; Pseudomonadati; Pseudomonadota; Gammaproteobacteria; Enterobacterales; Enterobacteriaceae.
GUUAAGCGACUAAGCGUACACGGUGGAUGCCCUGGCAGUCAGAGGCGAUGAAGGACGUGCUAAUCUGCGAUAAGCGUCGGUGAGGUGAUAUGAACCGUUAUAACCGGCGAUUUCCGAAUGGGGAAACCCAGUGUGUUUCGACACACUAUCAUUAACUGAAUCCAUAGGUUAAUGAGGCGAACCGGGGGAACUGAAACAUCUAAGUACCCCGAGGAAAAGAAAUCAACCGAGAUUCCCCCAGUAGCGGCGAGCGAACGGGGAGGAGCCCAGAGCCUGAAUCAGUGUGUGUGUUAGUGGAAGCGUCUGGAAAGGCGCGCGAUACAGGGUGACAGCCCCGUACACAAAAAUGCACAUAUUGUGAGCUCGAUGAGUAGGGCGGGACACGUGGUAUCCUGUCUGAAUAUGGGGGGACCAUCCUCCAAGGCUAAAUACUCCUGACUGACCGAUAGUGAACCAGUACCGUGAGGGAAAGGCGAAAAGAACCCCGGCGAGGGGAGUGAAAAAGAACCUGAAACCGUGUACGUACAAGCAGUGGGAGCCUCUUUAUGGGGUGACUGCGUACCUUUUGUAUAAUGGGUCAGCGACUUAUAUUCUGUAGCAAGGUUAACCGAAUAGGGGAGCCGAAGGGAAACCGAGUCUUAACUGGGCGUUAAGUUGCAGGGUAUAGACCCGAAACCCGGUGAUCUAGCCAUGGGCAGGUUGAAGGUUGGGUAACACUAACUGGAGGACCGAACCGACUAAUGUUGAAAAAUUAGCGGAUGACUUGUGGCUGGGGGUGAAAGGCCAAUCAAACCGGGAGAUAGCUGGUUCUCCCCGAAAGCUAUUUAGGUAGCGCCUCGUGAAUUCAUCUCCGGGGGUAGAGCACUGUUUCGGCAAGGGGGUCAUCCCGACUUACCAACCCGAUGCAAACUGCGAAUACCGGAGAAUGUUAUCACGGGAGACACACGGCGGGUGCUAACGUCCGUCGUGAAGAGGGAAACAACCCAGACCGCCAGCUAAGGUCCCAAAGUCAUGGUUAAGUGGGAAACGAUGUGGGAAGGCCCAGACAGCCAGGAUGUUGGCUUAGAAGCAGCCAUCAUUUAAAGAAAGCGUAAUAGCUCACUGGUCGAGUCGGCCUGCGCGGAAGAUGUAACGGGGCUAAACCAUGCACCGAAGCUGCGGCAGCGACACUAUGUGUUGUUGGGUAGGGGAGCGUUCUGUAAGCCUGUGAAGGUGGCCUGUGAGGGUUGCUGGAGGUAUCAGAAGUGCGAAUGCUGACAUAAGUAACGAUAAAGCGGGUGAAAAGCCCGCUCGCCGGAAGACCAAGGGUUCCUGUCCAACGUUAAUCGGGGCAGGGUGAGUCGACCCCUAAGGCGAGGCCGAAAGGCGUAGUCGAUGGGAAACAGGUUAAUAUUCCUGUACUUGGUGUUACUGCGAAGGGGGGACGGAGAAGGCUAUGUUGGCCGGGCGACGGUUGUCCCGGUUUAAGCGUGUAGGCUGGUUUUCCAGGCAAAUCCGGAAAACCAAGGCUGAGGCGUGAUGACGAGGCACUACGGUGCUGAAGCGACAAAUGCCCUGCUUCCAGGAAAAGCCUCUAAGCAUCAGGUAACAUCAAAUCGUACCCCAAACCGACACAGGUGGUCAGGUAGAGAAUACCAAGGCGCUUGAGAGAACUCGGGUGAAGGAACUAGGCAAAAUGGUGCCGUAACUUCGGGAGAAGGCACGCUGAUAUGUAGGUGAAGCGACUUGCUCGUGGAGCUGAAAUCAGUCGAAGAUACCAGCUGGCUGCAACUGUUUAUUAAAAACACAGCACUGUGCAAACACGAAAGUGGACGUAUACGGUGUGACGCCUGCCCGGUGCCGGAAGGUUAAUUGAUGGGGUUAGCGGUAACGCGAAGCUCUUGAUCGAAGCCCCGGUAAACGGCGGCCGUAACUAUAACGGUCCUAAGGUAGCGAAAUUCCUUGUCGGGUAAGUUCCGACCUGCACGAAUGGCGUAAUGAUGGCCAGGCUGUCUCCACCCGAGACUCAGUGAAAUUGAACUCGCUGUGAAGAUGCAGUGUACCCGCGGCAAGACGGAAAGACCCCGUGAACCUUUACUAUAGCUUGACACUGAACAUUGAGCCUUGAUGUGUAGGAUAGGUGGGAGGCUUUGAAGUGUGGACGCCAGUCUGCAUGGAGCCGACCUUGAAAUACCACCCUUUAAUGUUUGAUGUUCUAACGUUGGCCCGUAAUCC